RNAcentral lists this ribosomal RNA (253 nucleotides) under uncultured bacterium. Its description in RNAcentral is "partial 16S ribosomal RNA". It matches the Rfam family "Bacterial small subunit ribosomal RNA", at positions 524 to 776 of the family's 1533-position model. The record is from RNAcentral.
UACGUAGGGGGCUAGCGUUGUCCGGAUUUAUUGGGCGUAAAGAGCGUGUAGGCGGCCUGGUAGGUCUGCUGUGAAAACUCGAGGCUCAACCUCGAGAUGUCGGCGGAAACCAUCUGGCUAGAGUCCGGAAGAGGAGAGUGGAAUUCCUGGUGUAGCGGUGAAAUGCGCAGAUAUCAGGAAGAACACCGGUGGCGAAGGCGGUUCUCUGGGCCUUACCUGACGCUGAGGAGCGAAAGCGUGGGGAGCGAACAGG